AAUCAAGUGGAGGACAAGUCUGGUGCCAGCACCCGCGGUAAUUCCAGCUCCACUAGCGUAUAUUAAAGUUGUUGCAGUUAAAAAGCUCGUAGUUGAACCUCUGUCUGGGGCUAGUUUUGGCUUUGGUCAGGCUAGUUCUAGGCAUCCGCCUACAAGACUUAGAGGGCAUUCAGUUGUUCACUAGGAGGAGUAGGCAUUUUACUUUGAAAAAAUUAGAGUGUUUAAGGCAGGCAAUCGCCCGCAUAUAUUAGCAUGGAAUAAUAGAAUAGGACACUUUUCCAUUUCGUUGGUUAUUGGAAUCGUGUAAUGAUUAAUAGGGACAGUUGUGGGCAUUUGUAUUUAAUUGUCAGAGGUGAAAUUCUUGGAUUUAUUAAAGACAAACUAACGCGAAAGCAUUUGCCAAGGAUGUUUUCAUUAAUCAAGAACGAAAGUUAGGGGAUCAAAGACGAUCAGAUACCGUCCUAGUCUUAACUAUAAACUAUUCCGACUCAAUGUUUGACUGGCUUAUAUAACCAGUUGAGCGUUGUAUGAGAAAUCAAAGUCUUUAGGUUCUGGGGGGAGUAUGGUUGCAAAGCUGAAACUUAAAGGAAUUGACGGAAGAGCACAACCAGGAGUGGAUUCUGCGGCUUAAUUUGACUCAACACGGGGAAACUUACCAGGUUAAAACAAUAGUGGGAUUGACAGUUUGAGAGCGCUUUCUUGAUUGGUUGGGUGGUGGUGCAUGGCCGUUCUUAGUUGGUGGAGUGAUUUGUCUGCUUAAUUGCGUUAACGAACGAGACCUUAACCUGCUUACUAGACUGGCGAUCAUCAAUCGUUAGCUCUUCUUAGAGGGACUUUGGUUGUUUUAACUCCAAGGAAGUUUGAGGCAAUAACAGGUCUGUGAUGCCCUUAGAUAUCCUGGGCCGCACGCGUCAUACAAUGACUAGUUCAGAAAGUUUUCUCCUGACCCGAAAGGGGAUGGGUAAUCUUGAUAAUACUAGUCGUGUUAGGGAUCGAUCUUUGCAAUUAUAGAUCUUGAACGAGGAAUUCCUAGUAAGUGCGGUUCAUCAGACCGUACUGAUUACGUCCCUGCUCUUUGUACACACCGCCCGUCGCUUCUACCGAGUGGGUGGUCCGGUGAGAUAAUUGAACUUCGCAGGUAACUGAGAGGAAAGAUUAUCAAACCUAUCCACCU
This 1174-nucleotide ribosomal RNA is filed under the name metagenome. Its description in RNAcentral is "SSU rRNA". It matches the Rfam family "Eukaryotic small subunit ribosomal RNA", at positions 542 to 1774 of the family's 1831-position model. The record is from RNAcentral.